ACUCCUACGGGAGGCAGCAGUGGGGAAUUUUGCGCAAUGGGGGAAACCCUGACGCAGCAACGCCGCGUGAGUGAUGAAGGCCCUUGGGUCGUAAAGCUCCGACAGAGGGAAAGAAAUGUGGGUGGCUAAUAUCCAUACCACUUGACGGUACCCUCAAAGGAAGCACCGGCUAACUCCGUGCCAGCAGCCGCGGUAAUACGGAGGGUGCGAGCGUUGUUCGGAUUUAUUGGGCGUAAAGCGCGUGUAGGCGGUUUUAUAAGUCUGAUGUGAAAGCCCCGGGCUCAACCUGGGAAGUGCAUUGGAUACUGUAAGACUUGAACACGGGAGAGGGCAGUGGAAUUCCUAGUGUAGGAGUGAAAUCCGUAGAUAUUAGGAGGAACACCGGUGGCGAAGGCGGCUGCCUGGACCGAUAUUGACGCUGAGACGCGAAAGCGUGGGUAGCAAACAGGAUUAGAUACCCUGGUAGUCCACGCCGUAAACGAUGAGAACUAGGUGUCGCGGGUA
Molecule: ribosomal RNA, 504 nt
Filed under: uncultured Geobacter sp.
Lineage: Bacteria; Pseudomonadati; Thermodesulfobacteriota; Desulfuromonadia; Geobacterales; Geobacteraceae
Description: bacterial SSU rRNA
Rfam family: Bacterial small subunit ribosomal RNA
Source: RNAcentral